GCCCCUGUGGCGCGGUGGCUGGCGCCCCGUGCUUUGAACAAGAGGUUGCGGGUUCAAAUCUCGCCGCUGACC
RNAcentral lists this transfer RNA (72 nucleotides) under Hordeum vulgare. Its description in RNAcentral is "tRNA-OTHER". The record is from RNAcentral. Lineage: Eukaryota; Viridiplantae; Streptophyta; Magnoliopsida; Poales; Poaceae.